This 239-nucleotide unclassified non-coding RNA is filed under the name Hevea brasiliensis (rubber tree). Lineage: Eukaryota; Viridiplantae; Streptophyta; Magnoliopsida; Malpighiales; Euphorbiaceae. The record is from RNAcentral.
AUUUGGUUCAUAUAAAAGUAAGAAUCUUUUUCAUCAUUAUGAGGAACUUGUUAAAUGAGAGGAUUACUAUGCAUUUUAUGAACAUUUUGAGGUCCACAUAUCCCUUCAAGAUUGGUUUUCUUUGGAUUUUUUACUCUUAGAUCGGAUUUCAGUUUUUGUUCUUGGAUUGUAGACUCACUUAGAUUAACAUGAGGUUUCAUAGUCUAAGUAUUUAAACAUUGCGAGAUAUUUUAAUUUGU